AAGUUCUUGAAUCAAUGCAGGGAAAAGCGAUUUCACUAAGGAAAAACACACUCAAUCCAACUAGGGAAGAAAUAAACUUCAACACAGGAGGAGCAGAAAUUCAUUAUCCACUACCUGCUACUGGGUAAGGAGAUAAUAAAAGUCUGACAGAGAGGACAUCCGUCAUCGGUUAGGAUGAACAUAUCAAGGAUGACUCGCUGGGAACCAACAGGAGGGAAU
This 219-nucleotide long non-coding RNA is filed under the name Lathyrus oleraceus (garden pea). RNAcentral's name for it is "Pisum sativum (pea) long non-coding RNA (PSAT_LNC019027)". The record is from RNAcentral. Lineage: Eukaryota; Viridiplantae; Streptophyta; Magnoliopsida; Fabales; Fabaceae.